This 352-nucleotide ribosomal RNA is filed under the name Ilybiosoma seriatum. RNAcentral describes it as "partial 12S ribosomal RNA". The record is from RNAcentral. Lineage: Eukaryota; Metazoa; Arthropoda; Insecta; Coleoptera; Dytiscidae.
UUUAAAUGUAAAUUAUUAUACUAAAUUAGUAAUAGUUAUGUUCUUUAAAUUUAAAGAUUUUGGCGGUAUUUUAGUCUAUUCAGAGGAACCUGUUCUAUAAAUGAUAAUCCACGAUUAAUUAAACUUAAUUUAAAAAUUUGUAUAUCGUCGUUUAUAAAUAAUUUUAAAAGAAUUAUAAUUUUUUAGAUUUUAAAUUAGAAAGUAUAUCAGAUCAAGGUGCAGUUUAUAUUUAAGUAGAAAUGGGUUACAAUAAAUUUAUUUAUACGGAAUUAUAUAUAAAAUUAUAUAAUAAAGGUGGAUUUGAUUGUAAUAAAAUUAAAUUUAAUUUUAUGAUUUUAGCUCUAAAAUAUGU